Molecule: transfer RNA, 74 nt
Filed under: Anaerolineae bacterium
Lineage: Bacteria; Bacillati; Chloroflexota; Anaerolineae
Description: tRNA-Arg
Rfam family: tRNA
About the family: Transfer RNA (tRNA) molecules are approximately 80 nucleotides in length. Their secondary structure includes four short double-helical elements and three loops (D, anti-codon, and T loops).
Source: RNAcentral
GCCUUCGUAGCUCAGUGGAUUAGAGCGCUUGCUUGCGGAGCAAUAGGUCACAGGUUCGAGUCCUGUCGAGGGCA